GAUGAACGCUGGCGGCGUGCCUAAUACAUGCAAGUCGAGCGAACAGACGAGGAGCUUGCUCCUCUGACGUUAGCGGCGGACGGGUGAGUAACACGUGGAUAACCUACCUAUAAGACUGGGAUAACUUCGGGAAACCGGAGCUAAUACCGGAUAAUAUAUUGAACCGCAUGGUUCAAUAGUGAAAGACGGUUUUGCUGUCACUUAUAGAUGGAUCCGCGCCGCAUUAGCUAGUUGGUAAGGUAACGGCUUACCAAGGCAACGAUGCGUAGCCGACCUGAGAGGGUGGUCGGCCACACUGGAACUGAGACACGGUCCAGACUCCUACGGGAGGCAGCAGUAGGGAAUCUUCCGCAAUGGGCGAAAGCCUGACGGAGCAGCGCCGCGUGAGUGAUGAAGGUCUUCGGAUCGUAAAACUCUGUUAUUAGGGAAGAACAAAUGUGUAAGUAACUAUGCACGUCUUGACGGUACCUAAUCAGAAAGCCACGGCUAACUACGUG
This 497-nucleotide ribosomal RNA is filed under the name uncultured bacterium. RNAcentral's name for it is "partial 16S ribosomal RNA". It matches the Rfam family "Bacterial small subunit ribosomal RNA", at positions 28 to 507 of the family's 1533-position model. The record is from RNAcentral.